GUAGGUGGCAAGCGUUGUCCGGAAUUAUUGGGCGUAAAGCGCGCGCAGGCGGUUCUUUAAGUCUGAUGUGAAAGCCCACGGCUCAACCGUGGAGGGUCAUUGGAAACUGGAGAACUUGAGUACAGAAGAGGAAGGCGGAAUUCCACGUGUAGCGGUGAAAUGCGUAGAGAUGUGGAGGAACACCAGUGGCGAAGGCGGCUUUCUGGUCUGUAACUGACGCUGAGGCGCGAAAGCGUGGGGAGCAAACAGGAUUAGAUACCCUGGUAGUCCACGCCGUAAACGAUGAGUGCUAAGUGUUAGGGGGGUUUUCCGCCCCCCUUAGUGCUGCAGCUAACGCAUUAAGCACUCCGCCUGGGAGUACGGCCGCAAGGCUG
Molecule: ribosomal RNA, 374 nt
Filed under: uncultured organism
Description: partial 16S ribosomal RNA
Rfam family: Bacterial small subunit ribosomal RNA
Source: RNAcentral